GGCCGGUUUCUCGAUCGUUGAUGCGGAAAUAGGUUGAGAUCUCCAUCGGGGAGACAGUGUCCUUCGGGAUGUAGCAGAAGGAGCCGUCACUGAAGACGGCGGAGUUGAGGGCGGCAUAGUAGUUGUCGCGUGGCGGGACGACACGGCCGAGGUAGCGGCGGACGAGGUCGGGGUAAUCUUUCACGGCUUCGGAGAUGGAGCAGAAGAUGACGCCGACCUUGGCGAGGGCGGCGCGGUGGGUGGUGGCGAUGGAGGUAGAGUCCAUGACGGCGUCAACGGCGACGUUGCUCAGUCGCUUCUUCUCGUUGAGGGGGAUGCCGAGGCGGUCGAAGAUAGCGAUCAUCUCGGGGUCAACUUCGUCGAGGGAAUCGAGUUUGGGCUUGAGCUUGGGCUCGGAGUAGAAGCAGAUGGACUGGAGGUCGAUGGGGGGGUAGCGGUUGUCGGACCACUGGGGCUCACGCAUGGAGAGGAAGGUGCGGAGGGCGGCGAGGCGGAAGUCGAGGAGCCAUUCGGGUUCGGAUUUGUGGCUGGAGAUGCGGCGGACGGUUUCUUCGUUCAGGCCUUUGGGGAUGGAGAUGGAAGGGAUGGUGUUUCGGAAGCCAGCGGUGUAGGGGCG
This 616-nucleotide unclassified non-coding RNA is filed under the name Hevea brasiliensis (rubber tree). Lineage: Eukaryota; Viridiplantae; Streptophyta; Magnoliopsida; Malpighiales; Euphorbiaceae. The record is from RNAcentral.